Small nuclear RNA from Callithrix jacchus (white-tufted-ear marmoset), 104 nucleotides. The record is from Ensembl. NCBI's taxonomy places the organism in Eukaryota, Metazoa, Chordata, Mammalia, Primates, Cebidae.
AUUCUCAUUUAAACAGCAUAUAUACUAAAAUUGAAAGGAUACAGAGAUUAGCAUGGUCUCUGUUCAAGGACGACACAAAUAUUUAUGAAGUGUUCUAUAUUUAA